Molecule: long non-coding RNA, 891 nt
Filed under: Carica papaya (papaya)
Lineage: Eukaryota; Viridiplantae; Streptophyta; Magnoliopsida; Brassicales; Caricaceae
Description: long non-coding RNA (CPAP_LNC001078)
Source: RNAcentral
AAAAGGGAAAGGAGGAGGCGUCGCAGAGGCAGAAAGUUGAAGCGGAGCGAAGAAAAGGGAAUUCUGGCUGAGAAACACUGUGUUACAUGCGACAUCAAUGUCCAAAAAUCAGUAAGUUUUGUCUUUUCCAUUUCUUUUACGAGAUUCCCUUUUCAUAUUUCACACUAAACGGCGUGUAGGUGUGAAACCAAUCACCCAAUAUUCAAAGCAAGUAAGGAGUGCUCUUGGGGAACCAAGGAGACCAUCCUUCAGAAGCUAGGAGUCGAACCCAAGUAUUUUCAGGUUUUUAAAGCACCGCACCAAACCAGGUGUGUUCCUUUUCCUCUUUCAAUGUGUGUUCUCGAUGAAAUGGGUAUUCAUGUUUGUGUGUGUGCAGGUUUCGGGAGCUAGAGUGCUUGCCUCAGCAUGACGAGUGAGGGUAUUCUCAAGAAAACCAAAAAUUAUCUUCGGUAGUGAGAAUCGAGAAAGUGAAACUAUUUGGCCUUUGUAGAACUAAACCAAAUCAGGUGACCAUUCGUUUCCUUUUUUGUUGUGGAGUUUUGGGGGAGUACGGAUGCUUAAAUUUAUAUAUGUGUAUACGUAUAGGUUUUGGAAAGUAAAUCGCCCACAUCUAUGUAAGGAGCUGAAGUGGUGGUUCGCUGAAUAUCGAAGAAUGAGUUUGUUGUGAUAAUUACCUAAAAUGACCACUUUUAAUCAUUUUCAUCAACUAAAUCUGAUUAUACUUAUGUAUGGUGAGUCUAGGCCAUUGAUCAAGUCGAGUACAAUCCGUUGAGGGACUUUGAUAAGUAUUUCCUUAUUCCAGACCUAGAUUUGGAUUUAGAAGGUUUAUGCAUGGGUAUUCUUAAAUUUGUGUGUGUUUUAAUAUAGAACAGAUAUUGCCUUGAUUCCUUG